UACGUAGGGCGCUAGCGUUGUUCGGAAUCACUGGGCGUAAAGCGCACGCAGGCGGAUCGAUCAGUCGGGGGUGAAAGCCCGGGGCUCAACCUCGGAAUUGCCUUCGAUACGGUCGGUCUCGAGUGCGGGAGAGGUGAGUGGAAUUCCUAGUGUAGAGGUGAAAUUCGUAGAUAUUAGGAAGAACACCAGUGGCGAAGGCGGCUCUCUGGGCCGGUACUGACGCUCAGGUGCGAAAGCGUGGGGAGCAAACAGG
RNAcentral lists this ribosomal RNA (253 nucleotides) under uncultured bacterium. RNAcentral's name for it is "partial 16S ribosomal RNA". It matches the Rfam family "Bacterial small subunit ribosomal RNA", at positions 524 to 776 of the family's 1533-position model. The record is from RNAcentral.